UCGAGAUUGUUCUUCUCGGCAGUACACCUACACGCUCCGUCGUCGGUCAUGAGAAGAGCUGCGUGCAUGGCACCCUCGAUCCGUUCAACGAUCCGGUAGCCGGCGUCCUGGUUCCUUCCCGGCAUCCGUCGUACUGGUUCACGCACCAUCGCCGUCGGUCUUUUUCCGGUUUGAGAUAGUGAGCGCCACCUGGGAGGACUCUCCAUGGACAACGCUGCACCAUCGACAGCCUCCUCCAUCGGAUGCAGCAAAAAGCAAGAUUCACAAGUUCAUCUUCUGGAUGCUUUUCAGUACAUCUACUUCCCGUUAUGCAAGUGUGG
Long non-coding RNA from Triticum dicoccoides, 320 nucleotides. RefSeq lists it as uncharacterized. NCBI's taxonomy places the organism in Eukaryota, Viridiplantae, Streptophyta, Magnoliopsida, Poales, Poaceae. The transcript has 3 exons. The record is from RefSeq and is a predicted model, not a curated record.